CAAGAGCGUAUGUAAAAGUUGUUGCAGUUAAAAAGCUCGUAGUUGAACCUUGGGUUUGGUUGGCCGGUCUGCUUUUUUGCGAGUACUGGAUUCAACCGAGCCUUUCCUUCUGGCUAACCAGUCGUUUCGGCGGCUGGCGAACCAGGAUUUUUACUUUGAGAAAAUUAGAGUGUUCAAAGCAGGCAUUAGCUUGAAUAUAUUAGCAUGGAAUAAUAGAAUAGGACGUUAUGGUUCUAUUUUGUUGGUUUCUAGGACCAUCGUAAUGAUUAAUAGGGACGGUCGGGGGCAUCAGUAUUCAGUUGUCAGAGGUGAAAUUCUUGGAUUUACUGAAGACUAACUACUGCGAAAGCAUUUGCCAAGGACGUUUUCAUUAA
RNAcentral lists this ribosomal RNA (374 nucleotides) under uncultured eukaryote. RNAcentral's name for it is "partial 18S ribosomal RNA". It matches the Rfam family "Eukaryotic small subunit ribosomal RNA", at positions 592 to 976 of the family's 1831-position model. The record is from RNAcentral.